This 24-nucleotide non-coding RNA is filed under the name Rattus norvegicus (Norway rat). The record is from RNAcentral. Lineage: Eukaryota; Metazoa; Chordata; Mammalia; Rodentia; Muridae.
UGCUACAAGUGGGCACACUCAUCA